RNAcentral lists this small nuclear RNA (115 nucleotides) under Nannospalax galili (Upper Galilee mountains blind mole rat). The record is from RNAcentral. Lineage: Eukaryota; Metazoa; Chordata; Mammalia; Rodentia; Spalacidae.
GUGCUUGCUUCAGUAGUACAUUUGGUACAAAUUGGAACGAUACAGAGAAGAUUAGCAUGGCCUCUGCCAGUAAGGACUGAGUGACAUGCAAAUUUAUGAAGCAUUCUAUAUACAC